Lepidothrix coronata (blue-crowned manakin) is the source of this 228-nucleotide long non-coding RNA. RefSeq lists it as uncharacterized. Lineage: Eukaryota; Metazoa; Chordata; Aves; Passeriformes; Pipridae. The record is from RefSeq and is a predicted model, not a curated record. The transcript has 3 exons.
UGUGGCCUUCAGUGCUGUCCCUGCAGGGAGCCAACAAGAAACACGGAGAGAGACUAUUUACAAGGGCCUGGAGUGACAGGACAAGGGGGAAUGGCUUCACUCUGACAGAGGGAAGGGUUAAGAUGGGAUGUUAGGAAAGAAUUCUUUCCUAGGAGGGUGGGGAGGCCCUGGCCCAGGUUGCCCAGAGAAGCUGUGGCUGCCCCUGGAUCUCUGGAAGUGUCCAAGGCC